RNAcentral lists this ribosomal RNA (427 nucleotides) under uncultured Comamonas sp. Its description in RNAcentral is "bacterial SSU rRNA". It matches the Rfam family "Bacterial small subunit ribosomal RNA", at positions 353 to 772 of the family's 1533-position model. Lineage: Bacteria; Pseudomonadati; Pseudomonadota; Betaproteobacteria; Burkholderiales; Comamonadaceae. The record is from RNAcentral.
AGUGGGGAAUUUUGGACAAUGGGGGCAACCCUGAUCCAGCCAUGCCGCGUGCGGGAAGAAGGCCUUCGGGUUGUAAACCGCUUUUGUCAGGGAAGAAACGCUCUGGGUUAAUACCCUGGGGUAAUGACGGUACCUGAAGAAUAAGCACCGGCUAACUACGUGCCAGCAGCCGCGGUAAUACGUAGGGUGCGAGCGUUAAUCGGAAUUACUGGGCGUAAAGCGUGCGCAGGCGGUUGUGCAAGACAGGUGUGAAAUCCCCGGGCUUAACCUGGGAACUGCACUUGUGACUGUACGGCUGGAGUACGGCAGAGGGGGAUGGAAUUCCGCGUGUAGCAGUGAAAUGCGUAGAUAUGCGGAGGAACACCGAUGGCGAAGGCAGUCCCCUGGGCCUGUACUGACGCUCAUGCACGAAAGCGUGGGGAGCAAA